Schistosoma haematobium is the source of this 45-nucleotide non-coding RNA. Lineage: Eukaryota; Metazoa; Platyhelminthes; Trematoda; Strigeidida; Schistosomatidae. The record is from Rfam.
AUCCACUUGACGAGUCCCAAGUAGGACGGAACGCGCGUCCUGGAU